GGUUGGUCCGAGUGCAGUGGUGUUUAUAACUAAUUGAUCACAACCAGUUACAGAUUCCUUUGUACCUUCUCCGCUCCCACUGCUCCACUUGAUCAGCCUUAA
Molecule: Y RNA, 102 nt
Filed under: Propithecus coquereli (Coquerel's sifaka)
Lineage: Eukaryota; Metazoa; Chordata; Mammalia; Primates; Indriidae
Description: Y RNA (ENSPCOG00000008558.1)
Rfam family: Y RNA
About the family: Y RNAs are components of the Ro ribonucleoprotein particle (Ro RNP), in association with Ro60 and La proteins. The Y RNAs and Ro60 and La proteins are well conserved, but the function of the Ro RNP is not known.
Source: Rfam by way of RNAcentral